This 207-nucleotide ribosomal RNA is filed under the name uncultured bacterium. Its description in RNAcentral is "partial 16S ribosomal RNA". It matches the Rfam family "Bacterial small subunit ribosomal RNA", at positions 568 to 774 of the family's 1533-position model. The record is from RNAcentral.
UGCGCAGGCGGUUAUGUAAGACAGAGGUGAAAUCCCCGGGCUCAACCUGGGAACUGCCUUUGUGACUGCAUAGCUGGAGUGCGGCAGAGGGGGAUGGAAUUCCGCGUGUAGCAGUGAAAUGCGUAGAUAUGCGGAGGAACACCGAUGGCGAAGGCAGGUCUCUGGGCCAAUACUGACACUGAGGAGCGAAAGUCUGGGGAGCGAACA